This 253-nucleotide ribosomal RNA is filed under the name uncultured bacterium. RNAcentral's name for it is "partial 16S ribosomal RNA". It matches the Rfam family "Bacterial small subunit ribosomal RNA", at positions 524 to 776 of the family's 1533-position model. The record is from RNAcentral.
UACAUGGGGUGCAAACGUUGCUCGGAAUUAUUGGGCGUAAAGCGCGCGUAGGCGGUUAUCUAAGUCGGAUGUGAAAGCCCUCGGCUUAACUGAGGAAGUGCACCCGAAACUGGGUAGCUAGAGUACUAAAGAGGGUCGCGGAAUUCCCGGUGUAGAGGUGAAAUUCGUAGAUAUUCGCAAGAACACCAGUGGCGAAGGCGGCUCACUGGCCCGGUACUGACGCUGAGGUGCGAAAGCGUGGGGAGCAAACAGG